Molecule: ribosomal RNA, 659 nt
Filed under: uncultured bacterium
Lineage: Bacteria
Description: bacterial SSU rRNA
Rfam family: Bacterial small subunit ribosomal RNA
Source: RNAcentral
AGUCGAGCGAGCGGAACUACAGAUUUACUUCGGUAAUGACGUUAGGAAAGCGAGCGGCGGAUGGGUGAGUAACACGUGGGGAACCUGCCCCAUAGUCUGGGAUACCACUUGGAAACAGGUGCUAAUACCGGAUAAGAAAGCAGAUCGCAUGAUCAGCUUUUAAAAGGCGGCGUAAGCUGUCGCUAUGGGAUGGCCCCGCGGUGCAUUAGCUAGUUGGUAAGGUAAAGGCUUACCAAGGCGAUGAUGCAUAGCCGAGUUGAGAGACUGAUCGGCCACAUUGGGACUGAGACACGGCCCAAACUCCUACGGGAGGCAGCAGUAGGGAAUCUUCCACAAUGGACGCAAGUCUGAUGGAGCAACGCCGCGUGAGUGAAGAAGGUUUUCGGAUCGUAAAGCUCUGUUGUUGGUGAAGAAGGAUAGAGGUAGUAACUGGCCUUUAUUUGACGGUAAUCAACCAGAAAGUCACGGCUAACUACGUGCCAGCAGCCGCGGUAAUACGUAGGUGGCAAGCGUUGUCCGAAUUUAUUGGGCGUAAAGCGAGCGCAGGCGGAAGAAUAAGUCUGAUGUGAAAGCCCUCGGCUUAACCGAGGAACUGCAUCGGAAACUGUUUUUCUUGAGUGCAGAAGAGGAGAGUGGAACUCCAUGUGUAGCGGUGGAAU